GGGUUGGUAGUACUAAUUGGUAAAACAACAAGCUGUUAACUUGUAGGAUGUGAGUUCGAGUCUCACCUAACCCG
Molecule: transfer RNA, 74 nt
Filed under: Richelia sp. RM2_1_2
Lineage: Bacteria; Bacillati; Cyanobacteriota; Cyanophyceae; Nostocales; Nostocaceae
Description: tRNA-Asn
Rfam family: tRNA
About the family: Transfer RNA (tRNA) molecules are approximately 80 nucleotides in length.
Source: RNAcentral